AACAUAUUCUUGAAGCUGAUUUCAAUUUCAUAUUACUUUCAAAGAGCUUAUUUUUAAUCUUUAAAAAUAUAGGCGCGAAGGAGAAAGCACAAAAAAUGUUUGAGCCUGGAGGCACCGACACCAUCCUGGAAGAUGAGGAAGCCGCAUCUGUCUAUUUGUGUUUCAGAAUGGUUAACACACUGAGACUCCAGAGGAACGUGUGGGUCUUUGUACCCAGUAGACGGUCAGCCAACACAGAGAAAUUAUUCAAGCCAGGAAACAUUUAAAAGGAUUCCACAAGGAGAGAAAGAAAGAAAGAAAGAGAAACAAGAAGAGACUUCAGACUGUGAAAGGCUUGGCUGCUGUUUCUCAUCGAAAGGCUGUCUAAGCGUGGGUCGGUUUCAUUUUCCGAUAUAAUUCCCACCUGGCAGGGGACCUAUUCUGAAAGAUUCAUCCCUCUAUCCUCAGGUCAUCAGGCCAGCUCCCAAACUAGAGCCCAAGCCCGAAGGCUUCCGACUUGCAAAGCUGACACUAUGCCUGUCAGAGACCCCAGCGCCAGCCAGCCACGCCUUCCUUGACGAGCUAGUUGCCGAGCCACACAACUACUCCUGUGAGUUGAGAGACACUAAUAUCGAUGGCCUGACUUUUCCUAUAGCAGUGGUUCUCA
Long non-coding RNA from Acomys russatus (golden spiny mouse), 646 nucleotides. RefSeq lists it as uncharacterized. Lineage: Eukaryota; Metazoa; Chordata; Mammalia; Rodentia; Muridae. The record is from RefSeq and is a predicted model, not a curated record. The transcript has 3 exons.